AACGAACGCUGGCGGCAUGCCCAACACAUGCAAGUCGAACGAGACCUUCGGGUCUAGUGGCGCACGGGUGCGUAACGCGUGGGAACCUGCCUUUAGGUUCGGAAUAACUCAGAGAAAUUUGAGCUAAUACCGGAUGAUGUCUUCGGACCAAAGAUUUAUCGCCUUUAGAUGGGCCCGCGUUGGAUUAGCUAGUUGGUGGGGUAAAGGCCUACCAAGGCGACGAUCCAUAGCUGGUCUGAGAGGAUGAUCAGCCACACUGGGACUGAGACACGGCCCAGACUCCUACGGGAGGCAGCAGUGGGGAAUAUUGGACAAUGGGCGAAAGCCUGAUCCAGCAAUGCCGCGUGAGUGAUGAAGGCCUUAGGGUUGUAAAGCUCUUUUACCCGAGAUGAUAAUGACAGUAUCGGGAGAAUAAGCUCCGGCUAACUCCGUG
This 433-nucleotide ribosomal RNA is filed under the name uncultured bacterium. RNAcentral describes it as "partial 16S ribosomal RNA". It matches the Rfam family "Bacterial small subunit ribosomal RNA", at positions 29 to 507 of the family's 1533-position model. The record is from RNAcentral.